Molecule: long non-coding RNA, 110 nt
Organism: Ochotona curzoniae (black-lipped pika)
Lineage: Eukaryota; Metazoa; Chordata; Mammalia; Lagomorpha; Ochotonidae
Exons: 3
Source: RefSeq, a predicted model, not a curated record
AGACUGGACUAAGUGGUUGUGGAGAGCGGAGCCACGCCUCAAAGAUGGCACUUGCUGACCAUUGCUUCGUGGCACAAAGGUGGUAAACAGAUUUUGGGAAGUUACUGAGG